UGAGGAAUUUUCCGCAAUGGACGAAAGUCUGACGGAGCAAUGCCGCGUGAAGGAUGAAGGCCCGUGGGUCGUAAACUUCUUUUCUCAAAGAAGAAAAAAAUGACGGUAUUUGAGGAAUAAGCUCCGGCUAACCCUGUGCCAGCAGCCGCGGUAAUACAGGGGGAGCAAGCGUUAUCCGGAAUGAUUGGGCGUAAAGCGUCUGUAGGUCGCUUAUGAAGUCUAUUGUUAAAUUCCGGGGCUCAACCUCGGGCAGGCAAUAGAGUACUCAUAUGCUAGAGUGUGGGAGAGGUAGAGGGAAUUCCUCAUGGAGCGGUGAAAUGCGUAGAGAUGAGGAGGAACACCGGAGGCGAAGGCGCUCUACUGGACCAAGACUGACACUGAGAGACGAAAGCCAGGGGAGUGAAAAGGAUUAGAUACCCUUGUAAUCCUGGCUGUAAACGAUGGAAACUAAGUGCUGCACAAAGCAGUGCUGUAGCUAACGCGUUAAGUUUCCCGCCUGGGG
RNAcentral lists this ribosomal RNA (502 nucleotides) under uncultured bacterium. RNAcentral describes it as "bacterial SSU rRNA". It matches the Rfam family "Bacterial small subunit ribosomal RNA", at positions 355 to 878 of the family's 1533-position model. The record is from RNAcentral.